UCCCUGCUGGCUCAGACGGUAAAGCAUCUGCCUCCAAUGCGGGAGACCUGGGUUCGAUCCCUGGGUUGGGAA
This 72-nucleotide transfer RNA is filed under the name Ovis aries (sheep). It matches the Rfam family "tRNA". From Rfam's summary of the family: Transfer RNA (tRNA) molecules are approximately 80 nucleotides in length. The record is from Rfam by way of RNAcentral. Lineage: Eukaryota; Metazoa; Chordata; Mammalia; Artiodactyla; Bovidae.